GACGGGGGAUGCAAGUGUUAUCCGGAAUCACUGGGCGUAAAGCGUCUGCAGGUGGUUUCCUAAGUCCACUGUUAAACCUUGAGGCUCAACCUCAAAUCUGCAUUGGAAACUAGGAGACUUGAGUAUAGUAGGGUAGAGGGAAUUUCCAGUGGAGCGGUGAAAUGCGUAGAUAUUGGAAAGACACCGAUGGCGAAGGCACUCUACUGGGCUAUUACUGACACUCAGAGACGAAAGCUAGGGGGGAGCAAAUGGG
This 253-nucleotide ribosomal RNA is filed under the name uncultured bacterium. RNAcentral's name for it is "partial 16S ribosomal RNA". It matches the Rfam family "Bacterial small subunit ribosomal RNA", at positions 524 to 776 of the family's 1533-position model. The record is from RNAcentral.